GUGGGUGUGAGAAGCAUCAAAAGGAUCAUCAGCAGACCAGAGCACAGGAUCAGAGUUUCUGGGCAGGGUGGGUAGGGCAAGGUCCUGCCUGUGUCAGCCCAGAGGAUGCUCCAUCAGACUCCUGUCAGCCUGCAUAGCUGGAGCAGCAAUCCUGGUUGCACUCACCGAGGAGGAGCCAAGAGCAGCCCCAAGACAGAGUGCUCCCUUAGAAUGCCGUGGAAAGUGUGGAGCACACAGGCCCAGGACUCGGACAACAGAGCUUUUCCUUCAGUAAAACAAGUAAAUUGCCUUGCCCUUUCCAAGGGGGUAUGUGAAGUUCCAGGAGACAAGCUUAGAGAAAGAAGGCCCCUAGAAUGGACGCCCUCACUCAUCUCUCUCCAGGUCUUCCUUCUGUAAGAACUGACAGCAGCUCCAUUUCCGGUGUGUCUACAGCCACACCAUCACGCUCUUCAAUUGGUGGGCUGGUGUCCAGCAUGUUCUGGCCUGGAAGGAUCAGUUUGUGACCAGCACUGCUCACUCUUUCUGCCAUCU
This 531-nucleotide long non-coding RNA is filed under the name Rattus norvegicus (Norway rat). RNAcentral's name for it is "long non-coding RNA NONRATT021864". The record is from RNAcentral. Lineage: Eukaryota; Metazoa; Chordata; Mammalia; Rodentia; Muridae.